Solea solea (common sole) is the source of this 1523-nucleotide long non-coding RNA. RefSeq lists it as uncharacterized. The record is from RefSeq and is a predicted model, not a curated record. The transcript is spliced from 2 exons. NCBI's taxonomy places the organism in Eukaryota, Metazoa, Chordata, Actinopteri, Pleuronectiformes, Soleidae.
UGAACUGAACUUCUGCGUCGGUGUAGGCUACACUGUAUUCUUAGAGAGGCACCUAACUUUAGUCAUGCUGUGUGACUUAUUUCAGGAGGGGAGAAAAACUAUUUUGAUUUUUUUUUUUUUAUAGAUAAAUGACACUUUCCUGCAAGUGGAGUAGAAAUAUUCUCGCUUUAAAAAAAUAUUACAGAAGAAAACUUGGCACUGAUUGUGCGUCCCGUUUUCUGAGGCCGUCAGUGAAACGUUUGACAUCUAAAAGCAGGUAAGCCACUGACUAACGCACAUUGUGCCAGUUGCCAGUUCCACUGUGCGUGUGACAGCGGCUAACCUGGUUUUGGGAGAGCCACUCUUCCGUUUCCCACCGCCAGACAGUGUCCACGAGCAGGGAAGAGACCAUGUGGGCAAUGUGCACUCAACAUGAGCUGUGUGCUCCCUGUGCACUGUAGCCCACUUCCUACUGGCCGUCACAUACUGUACUUAUUGUAUAUACUGUAUCUCUGCCUGUAGUAGCCAGCAGAUCAUCGUCUCCUCUGGCGCGUAUACGUCUUACUGCCACCUACUGUCAAGAUUAAGGGUAAUGUUGUGUGAAGUUUCUGUUUCAUUUGUGGCUUUGAACAAUGUAACCAAACAAGGACAAGAUGUGACAAGAGCUAAAAUGUGCAUAAUAUGACCUUUCUGUAUUUUGAUGAUAUUAUAUUUUGAUGAAUAAAUUCCAACUUCCUUUUAUGUAGGUGUUUUGUAAUAAUUGUUAAGUAAAACGAUGAGGAAAAAUCAACCAACGCUCAUACAACUGGUUUAGACCGGAUGUAUGUUCUCAUGAAGACUGGUUUCCAGUUUAAGGUCAGGUGUCUGCGGGUGUUCUUGAAGUGAUUCCAGGGUACUAUCUAUAGACGGUGAAGACUCAACUUUGUUCAAGAUGGAUGUAGAAAACAAAAUGAUCAUUUUGGGGUGGUUUUCUAAUCGUUAAAUGAGCCGUGCCAAACAUUGUUGUCGCUCGUAGUGUCCGUGGGGCGUGUGAAUUAAAGUUUCUACUGAAAUAAUCUGUGAUAUCAUGUAUCUUACUGUAAACGUGCAAUGUAAUGCAAUUCCUUGGUAUCAGUCAGGGAGAGUUGCAUUCCGUAUCCAUCAUGACUCAUUGUGACACAGAGGAAUAGAUGAGAGCAGUAUGUCAGACUCAUUAACUUGUGGCCCCAUUAAUCAUCACAGAGUACUGUGGAUGUGCAGACACUCACUCGCAACCAGUUUCUUUCUCGAUCACCUGCUGCCUCUGUUGCGUCUUCCAUAAAGAUGGAGUCAUGUGUUCAAUAUUCACCAGAAGUACAGUAUAGAGUUUGUGACAAGGUUUUGUGGCGGCGCGCCUCUGUAUGAGCAAAAAUAAACAUCAUCAUAAUCUGUUCAUGUCCCGUUUAUGAGAUUGGAGUUCAGAUAUGAAGUGGGCGAGGUUGGACUCAUGUGGCAAUAACUGGAAAUUGCAUGAUACAAAAAAUGUACAACACUGAGGAUCAGAAAAUAAAACUUUUGAAGCAUCA